Corticium candelabrum is the source of this 287-nucleotide long non-coding RNA. RefSeq lists it as uncharacterized. NCBI's taxonomy places the organism in Eukaryota, Metazoa, Porifera, Homoscleromorpha, Homosclerophorida, Plakinidae. The record is from RefSeq and is a predicted model, not a curated record. The transcript is spliced from 3 exons.
CGCCACGCUUUCCCGGAUAUGAUGAUUUGAUUCCUUGCAUGUAAUCCCUCCCCAACGCUGUGAAAUUCGUCAGAGUUUAUGAUUUGAUUUCAAAUAUUGGGCUCAAGAACGUGAGCGUUUAGCAACCUGGCUAGCUAGCUAGCUAGGCUUCAGCACUUGUUGUUCAUUACUUGCAUCUUUGGAUGAGCUGAUGGUAAAUAAGGACAUAGACCGUUGAAAUUUGUGAGAACGUGUCGUGUAUAAAGUAUCUCUGGUUUCUGAGGUGUAGCUCGUGUACUAUACUGCCA